GCGGUGCAUGCCGGGCGCGCCUUCCCGCCGUGACGCUGCAGAUAGCAGGCCGGCGCCACUACCGUCACCCGUCAGCGCGGGCUCCGCCGCCGCCCGGCGAGGAUGGUGGGUGUGAAGGUGAUCGCGAACGACACCGAGUUCCAGCCUGAGCUCAGCGCUGCCGGCUCCCGCCUGACCGUGGUGAAGUUCACCAUGCGGGGAUGUGGCCCUUGUUUAAGGAUAGCUCCAGCUUUCAAUGCUCUGAGUAACAAAUAUCCCCAGGCAACAUUUUUGGAAGUAGAUGUGCAUCAAUGCCAGGGAACAGCUGCUACCAAUAAUAUAUCAGCAACACCGACAUUUCUGUUUUUCCGAAACAAAGUGCGAAUCGACCAAUAUCAAGGAGCAGAUGCUGUAGGUUUAGAAGAAAAAAUUAAACAGCACCUGGAGAAUGAUCCUGGAAACAGUGAAGAUACAGAUAUCCCAAAAGGAUAUAUGGAUUUAAUGCCAUUUAUCAAUAAAGCUGGCUGUGAAUGUCUUAAUGAGAGUGAUGAGCAUGGAUUUGAUAAUUGUUUACGUAAAGACUCUACUUACUUGGAAUCAGACUGUGACGAGCAGCUGCUCAUUACUGUAGCUUUUAGUCAGCCUGUCAAGCUUUAUUCUAUGAAACUUCAGGGGCCAGAUAAUGGGCAAGGUCCAAAAUACAUAAAAAUCUUUAUCAACCUUCCUCGAUCUAUGGAUUUUGAAGAAGCAGAAAGAAGUGAACCAACUCAAGCCCUGGAGCUGACACCAGAUGAUAUUAAAGAUGAUGGUAUCGUCCAGCUUCGCUAUGUAAAAUUUCAGAAUGUUAACAGUGUAACUUUGUUUGUCCAAUCCAAUCAUGGUGAUGAAGAAACAACAAGAAUUACAUACUUCACGUUUAUUGGAACUCCGGUCCAAGCGACAAAUAUGAAUGACUUCAAGCGAGAUUUUGCGUUCAGUUUUCUUAACGAAGGGGACUGGAUACCCUUCUGCAGUGAACUACGCUAACUUUAAACCUGCGUAGCAGCAUUGCAGAGUGCUGGAGUUGCACUUGCUGUUGGCUGGCAAAUCGACUCACCAAAGUCUGGUUGCAGUGGUGAUCUUUUCAGAAAAGGGAAGCAGUAAGCUGACUCUGAUUCCAGGUGGAGUUUACAGGAUUGGAGAUUGGAAGGAGACUUGGUAGUUGGCAAAAAGGGAGAAAGCCACUAGGAUGCAAAAGACACUGGAAGGCCUUAUCGCAAUCAAAGAGAUCUUCACUUUUAUCUACAACUCCUGGAUAAUUGCUUGACCAUAACCAGAGACGUCAAUCUGUUUCAUUUAAUGCCAUUACCAAUAAACCAUUGCUUUUGUUGAGAUGGAGUUUCCCUAGUGUUUCUGUUGUAAUCCUCGUAUGUGUAUUUGUAAAUAAAAUUCAUUACUUUUGCCAAGUUUAA
RNA transcript from Falco peregrinus (peregrine falcon), 1430 nucleotides. It is a transcript of the gene named thioredoxin like 1, with no coding region annotated. The record is from RefSeq and is a predicted model, not a curated record. The transcript is spliced from 9 exons. Lineage: Eukaryota; Metazoa; Chordata; Aves; Falconiformes; Falconidae.